GGGAAAGUGGCUCAGUGGUAGAGCACUUGCCUUGCAUACAUGAGGCCCUGGGUUCAAUUCCCUAGCACCA
RNAcentral lists this transfer RNA (70 nucleotides) under Dipodomys ordii (Ord's kangaroo rat). It matches the Rfam family "tRNA". From Rfam's summary of the family: Transfer RNA (tRNA) molecules are approximately 80 nucleotides in length. Their secondary structure includes four short double-helical elements and three loops (D, anti-codon, and T loops). Lineage: Eukaryota; Metazoa; Chordata; Mammalia; Rodentia; Heteromyidae. The record is from Rfam by way of RNAcentral.